UACAGAGGUCCCAAGCGUUGUUCGGAUUCACUGGGCGUAAAGGGUGCGCAGGUGGUCGGGUAAGUCUGACGUGAAAUCCCGCAGCUUAACUGCGGAAUGGCAUUGGAUACUAUUCGGCUAGAGGGUUGGAGGGGGGACUGGAAUUCUCGGUGUAGCAGUGGAAUGCGUAGAUAUCGAGAGGAACACCAGUGGCGAAGGCGAGUCCCUGGACAACUCCUGACGCUGAGGCACGAAAGCUAGGGGAGCAAACAGG
This 253-nucleotide ribosomal RNA is filed under the name uncultured bacterium. RNAcentral describes it as "partial 16S ribosomal RNA". It matches the Rfam family "Bacterial small subunit ribosomal RNA", at positions 524 to 776 of the family's 1533-position model. The record is from RNAcentral.